This 254-nucleotide ribosomal RNA is filed under the name uncultured bacterium. Its description in RNAcentral is "partial 16S ribosomal RNA". It matches the Rfam family "Bacterial small subunit ribosomal RNA", at positions 524 to 777 of the family's 1533-position model. The record is from RNAcentral.
UACAGAGGUCUCAAGCGUUGUUCGGAUUCAUUGGGCGUAAAGGGUGUGUAGGUGGCGCGCUAAGUCGGGUGUGAAAUUUCGGAGCUUAACUCCGAAACUGCAUUCGAUACUGGCGUGCUUGAGGACUGGAGAGGAGACUGGAAUUCAUGGUGUAGCAGUGAAAUGCGUAGAGAUCAUGAGGAAGACCAGUGGCGAAGGCGGGUCUCUGGACAGUUCCUGACACUGAGACACGAAAGCCAGGGGAGCGAAACGGG